Octopus bimaculoides (California two-spot octopus) is the source of this 1152-nucleotide long non-coding RNA. Lineage: Eukaryota; Metazoa; Mollusca; Cephalopoda; Octopoda; Octopodidae. The record is from RefSeq and is a predicted model, not a curated record.
UCCUAAGAAACACAUAUAAGUCGAUAAGCGAAGAGAGGUAAACACAUUCUGACACAACGUUUAGAGACAGUCAUUGCUGUACCUGAGCCAAAGUCCAGUCCUGACGAGAACCAACGUUUCCAGUCACCAAAGCACAUUUCUCUAUCUCUCGCAUUAAGGUGAAUUUCCAGGUAAAACAAGUUACAAUGUCUGGUUGUUCUGAUAGUUGUGUGCAGAUAAAUGUAGGGGAUAAGGUAUGCACACAUGUUGAUGAGCAAACGUUGAAGAACAACCAAUACGGUCAUGGAGGCUGGGAUCGCCGUAUGCCAGGUCUUAUAAAAAAGAUUGGUACGGUUGUGGGAAUCUCGGAUAAUGGAGAUGUAGAGGUGAAAUUUGAGAAAUACGAUGAAAUAUUUACCUUUAAUAAAGCGAGUCUCGUAGUUGUCCAUAUUGAUGACUAAUGAGAUUACUCAGAAUUGGAAACGGAAGAAAACUAAUAAAUAUGAUUAAUACAGCUGUCUUUCUAUCUGCCUCUCUAACUCCUUCUUUCUUUCUCUCUCUCUCUCUCUCUCUGAAGUCUAGACCAUAUUGAUAUAACUGAGAAUACAUAUGUAAUCUUUCUUUCUUUUUCUUUUUCUUUUUCUUCGACUUCUACUUCUACUCCUCCGUCUUUUUUUCCUCCUCCUCUUUCUCCUCCACUCAUCCUAUAAUGAUGACGCUGACACAGAAACCUUCUUCAAUCACCACCUGUCAGCAUCAAUUACUUCAGGCUCAGAAAAUGCUCGAACCCAACAACUGCUAAUCCACACCAAACGUCUUGCUUAAGAGCCACUGGGAAAUACUGCUUCGACAUCUCGGACAAUGUUCAUGAUGCACAUUCUAACGUCCAAGACCAGCUCUUGGCGUCAUUGAGAUGAAGUCGCUUUCUCUCUGACACAGAAACAUGCUUUCUCCUUUCUCUCUCUCUCUCUUCUUUUUCUACUUCUACAACCAUUGGCUGAUACCUCGCCACCUCUAUUCAUUACGUCCAGACUCACUCUUCUCUCUUCCUCUUCGCCCAUAUUUCGUUUCUUCUGCUUUACUUAAAUCGUGUAAUUCGAUACUUAACUCUGCAGUAAAUUGUAAUUUUCAACGUUUCAACUUCAAUAAAUAUCUUAUAACUAUACUUCAGUA